This 446-nucleotide ribosomal RNA is filed under the name uncultured bacterium. RNAcentral's name for it is "SSU rRNA". It matches the Rfam family "Bacterial small subunit ribosomal RNA", at positions 26 to 518 of the family's 1533-position model. The record is from RNAcentral.
AGAAUGAACGCUGGCGGCAUGCCUAACACAUGCAAGUCGAACGAAACCUUCGGGUUUAGUGGCGCACGGGUGCGUAACGCGUGGGAAUCUGCCCCUUGGUUCGGAAUAACAGCGAGAAAUUGCUGCUAAUACCGGAUGAUGACGUAAGUCCAAAGAUUUAUCGCCGAGGGAUGAGCCCGCGUAGGAUUAGCUAGUUGGUGUGGUAAAGGCGCACCAAGGCGACGAUCCUUAGCUGGUCUGAGAGGAUGAUCAGCCACACUGGGACUGAGACACGGCCCAGACUCCUACGGGAGGCAGCAGUGGGGAAUAUUGGACAAUGGGCGAAAGCCUGAUCCAGCAAUGCCGCGUGAGUGAUGAAGGCCUUAGGGUUGUAAAGCUCGUUUACCCGGGAUGAUAAUGACAGUACCGGGAGAAUAAGCUCCGGCUAACUCCGCGCCAGCAGCCGC